AUUGAACGCUGGCGGCAGGCCUAACACAUGCAAGUCGAGCGGAGCGGCGGACGGGUGAGUAAUGCCUAGGAAUCUGCCUGGUAGUGGGGGAUAACGUCAGGAAACGGGCGCUAAUACCGCAUACUAUCAGAUGAGCCUAGGUCGGAUUAGCUAGUUGGUGGGGUAAAGGCCUACCAAGGCGACGAUCCGUAACUGGUCUGAGCGGAUGAUCAGUCACACUGGAACUGAGACACGGUCCAGACUCCGACGGGAGGCAGCAGUGGGAAAUCUUGGACAAUGGGCGAAAGCCUGAUCCAGCCAUGCCGCGUGUAUGAAGAAGGCCUUAGGGUUGUAAAGUACUUUCAGCGGGGAGGCGUUACCCGCAGAAGAAGCACCGGCUAACUCCGUGCCAGCAGCCGCGGUAAUUC
RNAcentral lists this ribosomal RNA (407 nucleotides) under uncultured bacterium. RNAcentral's name for it is "partial 16S ribosomal RNA". It matches the Rfam family "Bacterial small subunit ribosomal RNA", at positions 30 to 526 of the family's 1533-position model. The record is from RNAcentral.